CUUGGCGGCCAUAGCGCGGUGGUCCCACCUGAUCCCAUGCCGAACUCAGAAGUGAAACGCCGUAGCGCC
This 69-nucleotide ribosomal RNA is filed under the name Escherichia coli. Lineage: Bacteria; Pseudomonadati; Pseudomonadota; Gammaproteobacteria; Enterobacterales; Enterobacteriaceae. RNAcentral also lists the same sequence under 1 other name. The record is from RNAcentral.